GAUGAACGCUGACAGAAUGCUUAACACAUGCAAGUCUUUGGCGAAUCUGUGCUUGCACAGGCUAGCCAAGGCGGACGGGUGAGUAACGCGUAAAGAACUUGCCCUGCAGACAGGGAUAACAGACGGAAACGACUGAUAACACCUGAUACAGUUGCCGGCACGCAUGUGCCUGGCAAUGAAAAGAGAUGCUGCAGGAGAGCUUUGCGUCCUAUUAGCUUGUUGGUGAGGUGACGGCUCACCAAGGCGAUGAUAGGUAGCCGGCCUGAGAGGGUGAACGGCCACAAGGGGACUGAGAUACGGCCCUUACUCCUACGUGAGGCAGCAGUGGGGAAUAUUGGACAAUGGGGGCAACCCUGAUCCAGCAAUUCUGUGUGCACGAAGAAGGUUUUCGGAUUGUAAAGUGCUUUCAGCAGGGAAGAAGAAAGUGACGUUACCUGCAGAAGAAGCGACGGCUAAAUACGUG
RNAcentral lists this ribosomal RNA (463 nucleotides) under uncultured bacterium. Its description in RNAcentral is "partial 16S ribosomal RNA". It matches the Rfam family "Bacterial small subunit ribosomal RNA", at positions 28 to 507 of the family's 1533-position model. The record is from RNAcentral.